RNAcentral lists this ribosomal RNA (608 nucleotides) under uncultured marine picoplankton. RNAcentral describes it as "SSU rRNA". It matches the Rfam family "Eukaryotic small subunit ribosomal RNA", at positions 620 to 1243 of the family's 1831-position model. The record is from RNAcentral.
UAAAAAGCUCGUAGUUGGAUUUCUGGCUAGGUGAAGCGUUCCCCAAGUUGGGUGCGAUGCGGCGCCUUGCCAUCCUUCUGUUAACCUGGGAAGCCUUAACGGCGGCCCACGGGGCUCAGAUAUUUUACCUUGAGAAAAUUAGAGUGUUUCAGGCAGGCUAGCGCCGGAAUACAUUAGCAUGGAAUAAUAGAAUAGGACUUCUGCCUCUUCUGUUGGUCUGAGGGGUUCAAGUAAUGAUUAAUAGGGAUAGUUGGGGGCAUUAGUACUUAACUGUCAGAGGUGAAAUUCUCGGAUUUGUUAAAGACUAACUUAUGCGAAAGCAUUUGCCAAGGAUGUUUUCAUUAAUCAAGAACGAAAGUUAGGGGAUCAAAGACGAUCAGAUACCGUCCUAGUCUUAACCAUAAACUAUGCCGACUCGGGAUCGGGAGCGAGAGUUAUCCGCCUUCGGCACCGUAUGGGAAAUCAAAGUCUUUGGGUUCUGAGGGGAGUAUGGUCGCAAGGCUGAAACUUAAAGGAAUUGACGGAAGGGCACCACCAGGCGUGGAGCUUGCGGCUCAAUUUGACUCAACACGGGGAAACUUACCAGGUCCAGACAUAGUGAGGAUUGA